GAAAAUGAUUGAAUUUGAGUAGUUGAGGCAAACAGAUGAGAUGAGCAUGGAUGAGUACACAGACAGAUUCUUGGAGCUGUUGCCGUUUGCUGGGCAGAAUCUGGACACAGAUCAGAGGAAGUCAAGGAGGUAUAUCAUGAGGCUCCAUUCCAGGUAUUCCUCCUUGAUUCAGUCAGCAGAGAGGGAGAGUUUCCAUGCCAUAGUGGAUAUGGCUCGGAGGAUGGAGGCU
Molecule: long non-coding RNA, 229 nt
Filed under: Manihot esculenta (cassava)
Lineage: Eukaryota; Viridiplantae; Streptophyta; Magnoliopsida; Malpighiales; Euphorbiaceae
Description: long non-coding RNA (MESC_LNC009248)
Source: RNAcentral